This 283-nucleotide unclassified non-coding RNA is filed under the name Hevea brasiliensis (rubber tree). Lineage: Eukaryota; Viridiplantae; Streptophyta; Magnoliopsida; Malpighiales; Euphorbiaceae. The record is from RNAcentral.
GCAGAUCAUACCGAAUCCAGAAAUAUGGAAGAAGCCCAACAGUGACAACUUCUGCAAAUGUAUUAACAGAUCUACAAGUGAAAAAAGGAUUGCAAAGGCCACAAAUGGCUAUGUUCUAGUUCGUGCAAAUGGCGGAUUGAAUCAAAUGAAAACAGGGAUAAGUGAUAUGGUUGCUAUAGUCAAAAUUAUGAAUGCCACUUUGGUUCUUCCUUCAUUAGAUAACUCUUCCUUCUGGACAGAUUCCAGUGAUUUUAAAGACAUCUUUGAUUGGAAGCACUUCAUU